UACGUAGGGGGCAAGCGUUGUCCGGAAUCAUUGGGCGUAAAGAGCGUGUAGGCGGCUCGAUAAGUCUGCUGUGAAAGUCCAGGGCUCAACCCUGGAAGGCCGGUGGAAACUGUCGGGCUAGAGUUCGGAAGAGGCGAGUGGAAUUCCCGGUGUAGCGGUGAAAUGCGCAGAUAUCGGGAGGAACACCAAUGGCGAAGGCAGCUCGCUGGGACGUUACUGACGCUGAGACGCGAAAGCCAGGGGAGCAAACGGG
Molecule: ribosomal RNA, 253 nt
Filed under: uncultured bacterium
Lineage: Bacteria
Description: partial 16S ribosomal RNA
Rfam family: Bacterial small subunit ribosomal RNA
Source: RNAcentral